This 704-nucleotide ribosomal RNA is filed under the name uncultured Stenotrophomonas sp. RNAcentral describes it as "bacterial SSU rRNA". It matches the Rfam family "Bacterial small subunit ribosomal RNA", at positions 355 to 1050 of the family's 1533-position model. The record is from RNAcentral. Lineage: Bacteria; Pseudomonadati; Pseudomonadota; Gammaproteobacteria; Lysobacterales; Lysobacteraceae.
UGGGGAAUAUUGGACAAUGGGCGCAAGCCUGAUCCAGCCAUACCGCGUGGGUGAAGAAGGCCUUCGGGUUGUAAAGCCCUUUUGUUGGGAAAGAAAAGCAGCCGGCUAAUACCCGGUUGUUCUGACGGUACCCAAAGAAUAAGCACCGGCUAACUUCGUGCCAGCAGCCGCGGUAAUACGAAGGGUGCAAGCGUUACUCGGAAUUACUGGGCGUAAAGCGUGCGUAGGUGGUUGUUUAAGUCUGUCGUGAAAGCCCUGGGCUCAACCUGGGAACUGCGAUGGAAACUGGGCGACUAGAGUGUGGUAGAGGGUAGCGGAAUUCCUGGUGUAGCAGUGAAAUGCGUAGAUAUCAGGAGGAACAUCCAUGGCGAAGGCAGCUACCUGGGCCAACACUGACACUGAGGCACGAAAGCGUGGGGAGCAAACAGGAUUAGAUACCCUGGUAGUCCACGCCCUAAACGAUGCGAACUGGAUGUUGGGUGCACUUUGGCACGCAGUAUCGAAGCUAACGCGUUAAGUUCGCCGCCUGGGGAGUACGGUCGCAAGACUGAAACUCAAAGGAAUUGACGGGGGCCCGCACAAGCGGUGGAGUAUGUGGUUUAAUUCGAUGCAACGCGAAGAACCUUACCUGGCCUUGACAUGCUGAGAACUUUCCAGAGAUGGAUUGGUGCCUUCGGGAACUCAGACACAGGUGCUGCAUGGCU